RNAcentral lists this ribosomal RNA (450 nucleotides) under uncultured bacterium. Its description in RNAcentral is "partial 16S ribosomal RNA". It matches the Rfam family "Bacterial small subunit ribosomal RNA", at positions 354 to 796 of the family's 1533-position model. The record is from RNAcentral.
GUGGGGAAUAUUGGACAAUGGGCGAAAGCCUGAUCCAGCCAUGCCGCGUGUGUGAAGAAGGUCUUCGGAUUGUAAAGCACUUUAAGUUGGGAGGAAGGGCAGUAAGCUAAUACCUUGCUGUUUUGACGUUACCGACAGAAUAAGCACCGGCUAACUCUGUGCCAGCAGCCGCGGUAAUACAGAGGGUGCAAGCGUUAAUCGGAAUUACUGGGCGUAAAGCGCGCGUAGGUGGUUCGUUAAGUUGGAUGUGAAAGCCCCGGGCUCAACCUGGGAACUGCAUCCAAAACUGGCGAGCUGGAGUACGGUAGAGGGUGGUGGAAUUUCCAGUGUAGCGGUGAAAUGCGGAGAUAUAGGAAGGAACACCAGUGGCGAAGGCGACCACCUGGACUGAUACUGACACUGAGGUGCGAAAGCGUGGGGAGCAAACAGGAUUAGAAACCCCGGUAGUCC